This 378-nucleotide unclassified non-coding RNA is filed under the name uncultured Actinomycetes bacterium. RNAcentral describes it as "uncultured actinobacterium contains 16S-23S intergenic spacer region". Lineage: Bacteria; Bacillati; Actinomycetota; Actinomycetes. The record is from RNAcentral.
UCCGGUUUGGCACCGGCAGUCUCCCCUUAGAGUGCCCAACUUAAUGCUGGCAACUAAGGGCAGGGGUUGCGCUCGUUGCGGCACUUAAGCCAACACCUCACGGCACGAGCUGACGACAGCCAAGCAGCACCUGUGCUGGCCCCUUACGGACACGGGCUUUCACCCGCUUUAACCAGCAUGUCAAGCCCAGGUAAGGUUCUUCGCGUUGCAUCGAAUUAAGCCACAUGCUCCGCCGCUUGUGCGGGCCCCCGUCAAUUCCUUUGAGUUUUAGCCUUGCGGCCGUACUCCCCAGGCGGAGUGCUUAAUGCGUUAGCUGCGGCACAGAGAGGGUUGAAGACCUCCCCACACCUAGCACUCAACGUUUACGGCUGGGACUAA